RNAcentral lists this small RNA (830 nucleotides) under Cryptococcus neoformans H99. RNAcentral's name for it is "Cryptococcus neoformans var. grubii H99 hypothetical RNA". The record is from RNAcentral. Lineage: Eukaryota; Fungi; Basidiomycota; Tremellomycetes; Tremellales; Cryptococcaceae.
CGUGCAGCCAUGCGCCAUAUUCAUGACAAAGUCUGACUACAUCUCCUAAUCCCCUUCCAAAGCCACCUAUGUUCACCUUUUCAAUUUCUUAGACGAUAAUUACCUCCCUCUCAACUUGCUCCCCGGCCUUCAUUCGGUCUUCAAACUUCUCAAGAUCAAUUGCGAGCUCAUCACCGAAGUAUAAGGCAUGCUCCGAAGGAUAGAUGGGCCGCCACCAAGACAUACAAAGGUGGUGGCUUUGGCGAUGGUGAAGUGUGGGUGAAAGGAAAGAAUGAUAACAUGGUUCCAUAUUAGAUGGGAUAUGCAGGUUUGAAGGGGGACCAGAUUGGGCGUAAUAAUAAUUGCGCGGUAAAUGUGGAGAAUGGUCAUCGAGGGUCACCAAGCCCCAGCAUAUUGGAUGCUAUGGCACCCGAAGAGAUUGUUCUUCCCAAGAAUGUGAUUCUCUCAAUAUUCAACAAAUCCAAUACCAUCCCCGAUGCCCACCUUUUCCACAGCAGUGUUAGCAGUCUUUCCUCCUAGUACCUUGACGAAACCAAAAUACCGAGGGCCAUUUUGGGAUUGGGAAUAUCCGGAAUGAGGGAGGAAAGAAGAUAGAAUUUAGUCUAGUCUGUGCCUAGGCCUUGUUCGGGAAGAGAUGGAGGGAGAGAGGAGAUGGUCGAGGAGAUGUCGGAUGGGGCCGGGAGUGUGGGGAGAGAAAGGAGAGUUGUAUGCCGGGAAGUGAUGUGGGGUAUGGCCGUGGCAGUAGCUGCUUGAAACCCGGCCUCGUGGGCAUUAAUUGUGAGAUCUUGUUUACAGAUAUUCAAGUGGGAGAGAUGACAUGGCAUGAAAAU